This 409-nucleotide ribosomal RNA is filed under the name Bacillota bacterium. Its description in RNAcentral is "Firmicutes bacterium partial 16S ribosomal RNA". It matches the Rfam family "Bacterial small subunit ribosomal RNA", at positions 355 to 776 of the family's 1533-position model. The record is from RNAcentral. Lineage: Bacteria; Bacillati; Bacillota.
UGGGGAAUAUUGCACAAUGGGCGCAAGCCUGAUGCAGCGACGCCGCGUGAGGGAUGACGGCCUUCGGGUUGUAAACCUCUUUCAGCAUCGACGAAGCGCAAGUGACGGUAGAUGCAGAAGAAGCACCGGCCAACUACGUGCCAGCAGCCGCGGUAAUACGUAGGGUGCGAGCGUUGUCCGGAAUUACUGGGCGUAAAGAGCUCGUAGGUGGUUUGUCGCGUUGUUCGUGAAAACCGGGGGCUUAACCCUCGGCGUGCGGGCGAUACGGGCAGACUGGAGUACUGCAGGGGAGACUGGAAUUCCUGGUGUAGCGGUGGAAUGCGCAGAUAUCAGGAGGAAAACCGGUGGCGAAGGCGGGUCUCUGGGCAGUAACUGACGCUGAGGAGCGAAAGCGUGGGGAGCGAACAGG